GACGAACGCUGGCGGCGUGCCUAAUACAUGCAAGUUGAGCGAUGAAGAUUGGUGCUUGCACCAAUUUGAAGAGCAGCGAACGGGUGAGUAACGCGUGGGGAAUCUGCCUUUGAGCGGGGGACAACAUUUGGAAACGAAUGCUAAUACCGCAUAACAACUUUAAACAUAAGUUUUAAGUUUGAAAGAUGCAAUUGCAUCACUCAAAGAUGAUCCCGCGUUGUAUUAGCUAGUUGGUGAGGUAAAGGCUCACCAAGGCGAUGAUACAUAGCCGACCUGAGAGGGUGAUCGGCCACAAUGGGAAUGAGACACGGCACAAACUCCUACGGGAGGCAGCAGUAGGGAAUCUUCGGCAAUGGACGAAAGUCUGACCGAGAAACGCCGCGUGAGUGAAGAAGGUUUUCGGAUCGUAAAACUCUGUUGGUAGAGAAGAACGUUGGUGAGAGUGGAAAGCUCAUCAAGUGACGGUAACUACCCAGAAAGGGACGGCUAACUACGUG
Molecule: ribosomal RNA, 497 nt
Filed under: uncultured bacterium
Lineage: Bacteria
Description: partial 16S ribosomal RNA
Rfam family: Bacterial small subunit ribosomal RNA
Source: RNAcentral